GAUGAACGCUGGCGGCGUGCUUAACACAUGCAAGUCGAACGGAAAGGCCCUGCUUUUGUGGGGUGCUCGAGUGGCGAACGGGUGAGUAACACGUGAGUAACCUGCCCUUGACUUUGUGAUAACUUCAGGAAACUGGGGCUCAUACCGGAUAGGAGCUCCUGCUGCAUGGUGGGGGUUGGAAAGUGUCGGCGGUUGGGGAUGUACUCGCGGCUUAUCAGCUUGUUGGUGGGGUAGUGGCUUACCAAGGCUUUGACGGGUAGCCGGCCUGAGAGGGUGACCGGCCACAUUGGGACUGCGAUACGGACCAGACUCCUACGGGAGGCAGCAGUGGGGAAUAUUGCACAAUGGGCGGACGCCUGAUGCAGCAACGCCGCGUGCGGGAUGACGGCCUUCGGGUUGUAAACCGCUUUCGACUGUGACGAAGCGUGAGUGACGGUAAUGGGUAAAGAAGCACCGGCUAACUACGUG
RNAcentral lists this ribosomal RNA (468 nucleotides) under uncultured bacterium. Its description in RNAcentral is "partial 16S ribosomal RNA". It matches the Rfam family "Bacterial small subunit ribosomal RNA", at positions 28 to 507 of the family's 1533-position model. The record is from RNAcentral.